RNAcentral lists this ribosomal RNA (253 nucleotides) under uncultured bacterium. RNAcentral's name for it is "partial 16S ribosomal RNA". It matches the Rfam family "Bacterial small subunit ribosomal RNA", at positions 524 to 776 of the family's 1533-position model. The record is from RNAcentral.
UACGUAGGUGGCAAGCGUUGUCCGGAUUUAUUGGGUUUAAAGGGUGCGUAGGCGGCCCUGUAAGUCAGUGCUGAAAUAUCCCAGCUUAACUGGGAGGGUGGCAUUGAUACUGCGGGGCUAGAGUACAGAUGAGGUAGGCGGAAUUGACGGUGUAGCGGUGAAAUGCUUAGAUAUCGUCAAGAACACCUAUAGCGAAGGCAGCUUACUAGGGAGUUACUGACACUGAGGCACGAAAGCGUGGGGAUCAAACAGG